RNAcentral lists this long non-coding RNA (443 nucleotides) under Numida meleagris (helmeted guineafowl). RNAcentral describes it as "lncRNA (ENSNMEG00000014442.1)". Lineage: Eukaryota; Metazoa; Chordata; Aves; Galliformes; Numididae. The record is from RNAcentral.
AUGACGUUUUUGGAAAGUAUGCUGUGGCAAGAGCUGAUGGAAUGUAAUGAGGAGGUGAUGUGUUCUGGAGAUCUCACACAUUGGCACUUUAUUGCAUGGUUGCCUCCAGUUGGAUCAGCACCUUCAGAAGAAAAUUUUCCAGGAAAAAAGCUUUUCCUGUGGCAGAACUGCACCAUAAGAUGUAUGAAGGUUGCUUCCCAGAAGCUCUCAUUGCACAGAUUAAGCUCUCCAGUUAUGCUGCCCUUACAGCCUGCAACAGCUGUUGGCAGUAUGAAAAAAUUGUCAGCCAGCCAGCUGCAUGCAGUUCGCCUGGGACUGUACAUUGCAACUUGUUGUGAUGAGAGAUGUUGCUUUUCAUCCCAAUGAUCUUUUGCUUCUUUCCAUCUUUUGGAAGCUUUAGAACUGAAAAUAAACUAGUUGGAAUUUUUCUCUAUUGAAGGAAA